CACGCCCUAAACGAUGAUUACUCGUUGUUGGCCUGCACAGGUCAGUGGCUAAGGGAAACCGAUAAGUAAUCCACCUGGGGAGUACGAUCGCAAGGUUGAAACUCAAAGGAAUUGACGGGGGCCCGCACAAGCGGAGGAGCAUGUGGUUUAAUUCGAUGAUACGCGAGGAACCUUACCUGGGCUCGAACGUGAGAGGAAUAUAGAGGAAACUUUAUAGCUAGCAAUAGUCUCUUACGAGGUGC
This 242-nucleotide ribosomal RNA is filed under the name uncultured bacterium. Its description in RNAcentral is "partial 16S ribosomal RNA". It matches the Rfam family "Bacterial small subunit ribosomal RNA", at positions 796 to 1041 of the family's 1533-position model. The record is from RNAcentral.